This 531-nucleotide long non-coding RNA is filed under the name Olea europaea subsp. europaea. The record is from RNAcentral. Lineage: Eukaryota; Viridiplantae; Streptophyta; Magnoliopsida; Lamiales; Oleaceae.
UAAAAAUACCUAUUUGCGGAUGCCAUUAAAAAUAUAAUAGCUAACCAUCAAGAAAAAUACCAUAAACGAGUCCAACACAACACAAAUAAAAAAGAUACCAGCAUCUUCUUGAAAUGGGUAACUCAUAUAACCCUACUAAGUAUAGUUUUAAUCAUAUGUUCAUAACAUGUAUCCAAGUCAUACUUUCUGGAUACACACACAAAAAGGCUUUGACUACUUACGAAUGGCAUGUAGAAUGUAAUGGGUGAAUGGAUGUUCCAUAUAAAGAGUGCGACCAACUACAUACGCCUCAUUACACAAUAAUAUCUUUCGUUAAUAUUCUAGCUCCCAGAAAAUGAUCAAUUUUGAAUAACUCAUUCCUUUCAGGAUCUAGUUGUAAAUCAAAAACUACUCCAACAAAUUUUUUUUACUCGCAGCCAAAUAACUAAAAAUGUAUCCCCCUACAAUUCACUCCAAGUACUUGCAUAAUUUUCAGCCACAACUGAUAUUUAUUUCAUAUAAAAGUGAAAAGUUUUGAUAGAUACACUAGCA